CCUAGGGGGUAUUGCACCUACCGAAGACUAUCAAACUCCGAAUGCCGUCAUCUUAUACUUGGGAGUCAGACUGUGGGUGAUAAGAUUCAUAGUCGAAAGGGCAACAGCCCAGAUCGUCAGCUAAGGUCCCUAAAUGUAAGUUAAGUGGUAAAGGAUGUGGGAUUGCACAGACAACCAGGAUGUUGGCUUAGAAGCAGCCACUCAUUCAAAGAGUGCGUAAUAGCUCACUGGUCGAGUGAUCCUGCGCCGAAGAUUUCCGGGGCUAAAACUUACUACCGAAGCUACGGCAUCAGUAAUGAU
This 300-nucleotide ribosomal RNA is filed under the name Clostridioides difficile. RNAcentral's name for it is "partial 23S ribosomal RNA". It matches the Rfam family "Bacterial large subunit ribosomal RNA", at positions 918 to 1225 of the family's 2925-position model. Lineage: Bacteria; Bacillati; Bacillota; Clostridia; Peptostreptococcales; Peptostreptococcaceae. The record is from RNAcentral.